CGGUCUGUCAAGUCGGAUGUGAAAUCCCCGGGCUCAACCUGGGAACUGCAUUCGAAACUGGCAGGCUUGAGUCUUGUAGAGGGGGGUAGAAUUCCAGGUGUAGCGGUGAAAUGCGUAGAGAUCUGGAGGAAUACCGGUGGCGAAGGCGGCCCCCUGGACAAAGACUGACGCUCAGGUGCGAAAGCGUGGGGAGCAAACAGGAUUAGAUACCCUGGUAGUCCACGCCGUAAACGAUGUCUACUUGGAGGUUGUGCCCUUGAGGCGUGGCUUCCGGAGCUAACGCGUUAAGUAGACCGCCUGGGGAGUACGGCCGCAAGGUUAAAACUCAAAUGAAUUGACGGGGGCCCGCACAAGCGGUGGAGCAUGUGGUUUAAUUCGAUGCAACGCGAAGAACCUUACCUGGUCUUGACAUCCACGGAAGUUUUCAGAGAUGAGAAUGUGCCUUCGGGAACCGUGAGACAGGUGCUGCAUGGCUGUCGUCAGCUCGUGUUGUGAAAUGUUGGGUUAAGUCCCGCAACGAGCGCAACCCUUAUCCUUUGUUGCCAGCGGUUAGGCCGGGAACUCAAAGGAG
RNAcentral lists this ribosomal RNA (571 nucleotides) under Salmonella enterica subsp. enterica serovar Albany. Its description in RNAcentral is "bacterial SSU rRNA". It matches the Rfam family "Bacterial small subunit ribosomal RNA", at positions 576 to 1147 of the family's 1533-position model. The record is from RNAcentral. Lineage: Bacteria; Pseudomonadati; Pseudomonadota; Gammaproteobacteria; Enterobacterales; Enterobacteriaceae.